AUGGUCGGGAAUGGUCGG
Molecule: transfer RNA, 18 nt
Filed under: Ozomelis stauropetala
Lineage: Eukaryota; Viridiplantae; Streptophyta; Magnoliopsida; Saxifragales; Saxifragaceae
Also listed under: 15 other names
Description: Mitella stauropetala partial tRNA-Phe
Source: RNAcentral